CAAUAGCGUAUAUUUAAGUUGCUGCAGUUAAAAGCUCGUAGUUGGAUUUCGGGUGGGAAUGGCCGGUCCGCCGUUUCGGUGUGCACUUGCUACGCCCACCUUGCUGCCGGGGACGUGCUCUUGAGUUCACGCUCGGGACACGGAGUCGGCGAGGUUACUUUGAGUAAAUUAGAGUGUUCAAAGCAGGCCUACGCUCUGAAUACAUUAGCAUGGAAUAACACGAUAGGACUCUGGCCUAUCUUGUUGGUCUGUAGGACCGGAGUAAUGAUUAAGAGGGACAGUCGGGGGCAUUCGUAUUUCAUUGUCAGAGGUGAAAUUCUUGGAUUUAUGAAAGACGAACUACUGCGAAAGCAUUUGCCAAGGAUGUUUUCAUUAA
RNAcentral lists this ribosomal RNA (376 nucleotides) under uncultured eukaryote. RNAcentral's name for it is "partial 18S ribosomal RNA". It matches the Rfam family "Eukaryotic small subunit ribosomal RNA", at positions 592 to 976 of the family's 1831-position model. The record is from RNAcentral.